This 374-nucleotide ribosomal RNA is filed under the name uncultured Alphaproteobacteria bacterium. RNAcentral describes it as "bacterial SSU rRNA". It matches the Rfam family "Bacterial small subunit ribosomal RNA", at positions 521 to 896 of the family's 1533-position model. The record is from RNAcentral. Lineage: Bacteria; Pseudomonadati; Pseudomonadota; Alphaproteobacteria.
UAAUACGGAGGGGGCAAGCGUUGUUCGGAAUUACUGGGCGUAAAGGGCGCGCAGGCUGUUUCGUUAGUCAGGCGUGAAAUCCCCGGGCUUAACCCGGGAACUGCGUUUGAUACUGCGGAACUAGAGAUCGGGAGAGGGUAGUGGAAUUCCCAGUGUAGAGGUGAAAUUCGUAGAUAUUGGGAGGAACACCAGUGGCGAAGGCGGCUACCUGGACCGAUACUGACGCUGAGGCGCGAAAGCGUGGGGAGCAAACAGGAUUAGAUACCCUGGUAGUCCACGCCGUAAACGAUGUGUGCUAGACGUCGGGGGUUACGCCUUCGGUGUCGCAGCUAACGCAUUAAGCACACCGCCUGGGGAGUACGGUCGCAAGAUUA